AACGAACGCUGGCGGCAGGCCUAAUACAUGCAAGUCGAGCGGGUGUAGCAAUACAUCAGCGGCGCACGGGUGCGUAACACGUGGGAAUAUGCCUCUUGGUGCGGAAUAACACAGGGAAACUUGUGCUAAUACCGCAUAAUGACUCCGGUCCAAAGAUUUAUCGCCAAGAGAUUAGCCCGCGUCUGAUUAGCUAGUUGGUGAGGUAACGGCUCACCAAGGCAACGAUCAGUAGCUGGUCUUAGAGGAUGAUCAGCCACACUGGAACUGAGACACGGUCCAGACUCCUACGGGAGGCAGCAGUAAGGAAUAUUGGACAAUGGGCGAAAGCCUGAUCCAGCCAUGCCGCGUGAGUGAUGAAGGCCUUCGGGUUGUAAAGCUCUUUUGUCCGGGACGAUGAUGACGGUACCGGAAGAAUAAGCCCCGGCUAACUUCGUGCCAGCAGCCGCGGU
Molecule: ribosomal RNA, 449 nt
Filed under: uncultured bacterium
Lineage: Bacteria
Description: bacterial SSU rRNA
Rfam family: Bacterial small subunit ribosomal RNA
Source: RNAcentral